RNAcentral lists this ribosomal RNA (463 nucleotides) under uncultured bacterium. Its description in RNAcentral is "partial 16S ribosomal RNA". It matches the Rfam family "Bacterial small subunit ribosomal RNA", at positions 28 to 523 of the family's 1533-position model. The record is from RNAcentral.
GAUGAAUGCUGGCGGCGUGCCUAACACAUGCAAGUCGAGCGGCAGCGCGGUCUUCGGACUGGCGGCGAGCGGCGGACGGCUGAGUAACGCGUGGGAACAUACCCCAAAGUGAGGGAUAACCGCCCGAAAGGGUGGCUAAUACCGCAUAUGAUCUUCGGAUUAAAGGAUUUAUCCGCUUUGGGAAUGGCCCGCGUACGAUUAGAUAGUUGGUGAGGUAAUGGCUCACCAAGUCGACGAUCGUUAACUGGUCUGAGAGGAUGAUCAGUCAGACUGGAACUGAGGCACGGUCCAGACUCCUACGGGAGGCAGCAGUGAGGAAUCUUCCACAAUGGGCGAAAGCCUGAUGGAGCAACGCCGCGUGCAGGAUGAAGGCCUUCGGGUCGUAAACUGCUUUUAUGAGUGAAGAAUAUGACGGUAACUCAUGAAUAAGCACCGGCUAACUACGUGCCAGCCGCCGCAGUAA